RNAcentral lists this ribosomal RNA (529 nucleotides) under uncultured bacterium. RNAcentral describes it as "bacterial SSU rRNA". It matches the Rfam family "Bacterial small subunit ribosomal RNA", at positions 777 to 1304 of the family's 1533-position model. The record is from RNAcentral.
AAUAGAUACCCGGGUAGUCCAUGCCGUAAACGUUGGGCACUAGGUGUGGGGCUCAUUCCACGAGUUCCGUGCCGCAGCAAACGCAUUAAGUGCCCCGCCUGGGGAGUACGGCCGCAAGGCUAAAACUCAAAGGAAUUGACGGGGGCCCGCACAAGCGGCGGAGCAUGCGGAUUAAUUCGAUGCAACGCGAAGAACCUUACCAAGGCUUGACAUGCACGGGAAGCCACCAGAGAUGGUGGUCUCUUUGGACACUCGUGCACAGGUGGUGCAUGGUUGUCGUCAGCUCGUGUCGUGAGAUGUUGGGUUAAGUCCCGCAACGAGCGCAACCCUCGUCCCAUGUUGCCAGCGGGUUAUGCCGGGGACUCAUGGGAGACUGCCGGGGUCAACUCGGAGGAAAGUGGGGAUGACGUCAAAUCAUCAUGCCCCUUAUGUCUUGGGCUUCACGCAUGCUACAAUGGCCGGUACAAAGGGCUGCGAUACCGUAAGGUGAAGCGAAUCCCAAAAAGCCGGUCUCAGUUCGGAUUGGGGU